Molecule: ribosomal RNA, 253 nt
Filed under: uncultured bacterium
Lineage: Bacteria
Description: partial 16S ribosomal RNA
Rfam family: Bacterial small subunit ribosomal RNA
Source: RNAcentral
CACGUAGGGCGCGAGCGUUGUCCGGAAUUAUUGGGCGUAAAGAGCUCGUAGGUGGUUUGUUACGUCCGCUGUGAAAACCUGGGGCUUAACCCCGGGCCUGCAGUGGAUACGGGCAGACUAGAGGUAGGUAGGGGAGAAUGGAAUUCCUGGUGUAGCGGUGAAAUGCGCAGAUAUCAGGAGGAACACCGGUGGCGAAGGCGGUUCUCUGGGCCUUACCUGACACUGAGGAGCGAAAGCGUGGGGAGCAAACAGG